GACGAACGCUGGCGGCGUGCUUAACACAUGCAAGUCGAACGGAAAGGCCCUGCUUUUGUGGGGUGCUCUAGUGGCGAACGGGUGAGUAACACGUGAGUAACCUGCCCUUGACUUUGGGAUAACUUCAGGAAACUGGGGCUAAUACCGGAUAGGAGCUCCUGCUGCAUGGUGGGGGUUGGAAAGUUUCGGCGGUUGGGGAUGGACUCGCGGCUUAUCAGCUUGUUGGUGGGGUAGUGGCUUACCAAGGCUUUGACGGGUAGCCGGCCUGAGAGGGUGACCGGCCACAUUGGGACUGAGAUACGGCCCAGACUCCUACGGGAGGCAGCAGUGGGGAAUAUUGCACAAUGGGCGGAAGCUUGAUGCAGCAACGCCGCGUGCGGGAUGACGGCCUUCGGGUUGUAAACCGCUUUCGCCUGUGACGAAGCGUGAGUGACGGUAAUGGGUAAAGAAGCACCGGCUAACUACGUG
Molecule: ribosomal RNA, 468 nt
Filed under: uncultured bacterium
Lineage: Bacteria
Description: partial 16S ribosomal RNA
Rfam family: Bacterial small subunit ribosomal RNA
Source: RNAcentral